This 480-nucleotide ribosomal RNA is filed under the name uncultured bacterium. Its description in RNAcentral is "bacterial SSU rRNA". It matches the Rfam family "Bacterial small subunit ribosomal RNA", at positions 40 to 507 of the family's 1533-position model. The record is from RNAcentral.
CUACAGGCUUAACACAUGCAAGUCGAGGGGCAGCAUGAACUUAGCUUGCUAAGGCCGAUCGGCGACCGGCGCACGGGUGAAGUAACACGUAUCCAACCUGCCGUCUACUCUUGGACAGCCUUCUGAAAGGAAGAUUAAUACAAGAUGGCAUCAUGAGUUCACAUGUUCACAUGAUUAAAGGUAUUCCGGUAGACGAUGGGGAUGCGUUCCAUUAGAUAGUAGGCGGGGUAACGGCCCACCUAGUCUUCGAUGGAUAGGGGUUCUGAGAGGAAGGUCCCCCACAUUGGAACUGAGACACGGUCCAAACUCCUACGGGAGGCAGCAGUGAGGAAUAUUGGUCAAUGGGCGAGAGCCUGAACCAGCCAAGUAGCGUGAAGGAUGACUGCCCUAUGGGUUGUAAACUUCUUUUAUAAAGGAAUAAAGUCGGGUAUGGAUACCCGUUUGCAUGUACUUUAUGAAUAAGGAUCGGCUAACUCCGUG